GGGGCUGAUCGGUUUCGACGGUGACCUGUUCGUCGCAGGGAAGCGUGCCGAGGAUGUAGAGUCCACUCGUGAUGACCUCUACAAACAAUUAAGUGCUAAAUCUAACCGCACUGAGCUCGUACUCGCUGCCUGAGCGUUAAGCUAGGAUUAACCAGCGGGCUACGGCUCCGCCCGCUCCCUCUCGUCUUCGGGGGGAUGUCGGACGUCAUUAGAGGACUUGCCUGAGCUGCUGUGCUGCAGGGCGGCUUGGGGACUUUGACUGCGGAUAUGCUCGCCAUCCAUUGUUCGCGACACGGAUGGGGGCAGAAAAACUGCCAUAAGGCCAGCGGACUACGCACGUAGAAUUCUGAGGGUGCGGUCAUCGGACCGGGGUUCAAUUCCCCGCAGCUCCACAA
This 395-nucleotide transfer-messenger RNA is filed under the name Bifidobacterium bombi. RNAcentral describes it as "Standard tmRNA". It matches the Rfam family "transfer-messenger RNA". From Rfam's summary of the family: Bacterial tmRNA, also known as 10Sa RNA or SsrA, is named for its dual tRNA and mRNA-like properties. Its role is to liberate the mRNA from a stalled ribosome. The record is from RNAcentral. RNAcentral also lists the same sequence under 1 other name. Lineage: Bacteria; Bacillati; Actinomycetota; Actinomycetes; Bifidobacteriales; Bifidobacteriaceae.